UACAGAGGGGGCUAGCGUUGUUCGGAAUUACUGGGCGUAAAGGGCGCGUAGGUGGCCUGUUAAGUCGAACGUGAAAUCCCCGGGCUCAACCCGGGAACUGCGUCCGAGACUGGCAGGCUCGAAUCCGGGAGAGGGAUGUGGAAUUCCUGGUGUAGCGGUGAAAUGCGCAGAUAUCAGGAGGAACACCAAUGGCGAAGGCAGCUCGCUGGAACGGUACUGACGCUGAGGCGCGAAAGCGUGGGGAGCAAACAGG
RNAcentral lists this ribosomal RNA (253 nucleotides) under uncultured bacterium. RNAcentral's name for it is "partial 16S ribosomal RNA". It matches the Rfam family "Bacterial small subunit ribosomal RNA", at positions 524 to 776 of the family's 1533-position model. The record is from RNAcentral.